CAGGCAGUGGAGCGUUUUGGGGUGGGGUGACUGCGUACCUUUUGUAUAAUGGGUCAGCGACUUAUAUUCUGUAGCAAGGUUAACCGUAUAGGGGAGCCGCAGGGAAACCGAGUCUUAACUGGGCGUUAAGUUGCAGGGUAUAGACCCGAAACCCGGUGAUCUAGCCAUGGGCAGGUUGAAGGUUGGGUAACACUAACUGGAGGACCGAACCGACUAAUGUUGAAAAAUUAGCGGAUGACUUGUGGCUGGGGGUGAAAGGCCAAUCAAACCGGGAGAUAGCUGGUUCUCCCCGAAAGCUAUUUAGGUAGCGCCUCGUGAACUCAUCUUCGGGGGUAGAGCACUGUUUCGGCUAGGGGGUCAUCCCGACUUACCAACCCGAUGCAAACUACGAAUACCGAAGAAUGUUAUCACGGGAGACACACGGCGGGUGCUAACGUCCGUCGUGAAGAGGGAAACAACCCAGACCGCCAGCUAAGGUCCCAAAGUCAUGGUUAAGUGGGAAACGAUGUGGGAAGGCCCAGACAGCCAGGAUGUUGGCUUAGAAGCAGCCAUCAUUUAAAGAAAGCGUAAUAGCUCACUGGUCGAGUCGGCCUGCGCGGAAGAUGUAACGGGGCUAAACCAUGCACCGAAGCUGCGGCAGCGACACUAUGUGUUGUUGGGUAGGGGAGCGUUCUGUAAGCCGUUGAAGGUGGCCUGUGAGGGUUGCUGGAGGUAUCAGAAGUGCGAAUGCUGACAUAAGUAACGAUAAUGCGGGUGAAAAACCCGCACGCCGGAAGACCAAGGGUUCCUGUCCAACGUUAAUCGGGGCAGGGUGAGUCGACCCCUAAGGCGAGGCCGAAAGGCGUAGUCGAUGGGAAACAGGUUAAUAUUCCUGUACUUGGUGUUACUGCGAAGGGGGGACGGAGAAGGCUAUGUUGGCCGGGCGACGGUUGUCCCGGUUUAAGCAUGUAGGCGGAUG
This 958-nucleotide ribosomal RNA is filed under the name Klebsiella oxytoca. Its description in RNAcentral is "partial 23S ribosomal RNA". It matches the Rfam family "Bacterial large subunit ribosomal RNA", at positions 567 to 1530 of the family's 2925-position model. The record is from RNAcentral. Lineage: Bacteria; Pseudomonadati; Pseudomonadota; Gammaproteobacteria; Enterobacterales; Enterobacteriaceae.